This 382-nucleotide ribosomal RNA is filed under the name uncultured bacterium. RNAcentral describes it as "bacterial SSU rRNA". It matches the Rfam family "Bacterial small subunit ribosomal RNA", at positions 28 to 407 of the family's 1533-position model. The record is from RNAcentral.
GACGAACGCUGGCGGCGUGCUUAACACAUGCAAGUCGAGCGGUAAGGCCCUUUCGGGGGUACGACGAGCGGCGAACGGGUGAGUAACACGUGGGUGACCUGCCCUUAGCUCUGGGAUAAGCCUGGGAAACGUGGGUCUAAUACCGGAUAUGACUCCAUGACGCAUGUUGUGGGGUGGAAAGCCUUGUGCGGCUAGGGAGUGGGCCUGCGGCCUAUCAGCUUGUUGGUGGGGUGAUGGCCUACCAAGGCGACGACGGGUAGGCCGGCCUGAGAGGGCGACCGGCCACACUGGGACUGAGACACGGCCCAGACUCCUACGGGAGGCAGCAGUGGGGAAUCUUGCGCAAUGGGCGAAAGCCUGACGCAGCGACGCCGCGUGGGGA